UUAUUCCCUGAUCAGUUUUCUAAAAUAAUGUAUGUCAUCAGUUGAUUGAAAGGAAGAGCUUUGCGAUGGGCUAACACUUUUUAAAGCUCACAUAAAGCCAAUACAAUAACCUAUCAGACCUUUCUCCUGGAGUUCUGUCAGGUUUUUGAUCAUCCCCUCCAGCAGGAGGCAGCAUCCAAAUGCCUCCUUUCCCUCCGCCAGGGAAGAUGAUCAGUCACAGAUUUCUCAGUAGAUUUCAGAAUCAUGGCGGAGGAGUCUGGUUGGGAUGAUGCAGCCCUGAGAGGUAUUUUUGUUAAUGCUCUUUCUGACUCAUUAAAGGAUCAGCUGGCUACUCGGGAUGAACCCGCUUCUUUGGACGGAUUAAUCAGCUUGGCGAUCCGCAUUGACAACAGACUCUGUGAAAGGAGACGUGAGAAGGACUCCAACUACCAGCAGCCACCGCGGCUCAGUGCUUCCUGUUUUCUUCCCUCCGACCCCACAAUCAUCUAAAUCAGAUGCAGCCGAGAGUGAGUUUGAGCCAAUGCAGCUGGGACGCUCACAGCUUUCUGCUGAAGAACGACAGAGACGGCAUGAAGCAAAGUCUUGUUUUUACUGCGAAAAGAAGGAUCAUCUGGUUGCUAAAUGAUCGGCUCUGUUAAAAGACCGGACCCAUCAUUAAGUAAGGGGAUUAUGGUGGGUCAGUCAAAGUCCUCCCCUAGCACUAGUUUUUCUAUUCAUGCUACUAUUUUUGCUAAUCUUAAUAAGUUUUCUAUCCAUGCUUUAGUGGACUCAAGAGCAGAGCAAAAUUUAAUCUCUAUGGACAUUGUAGAAGAACUUGGACUUGUGACUGAGAAGCUGGAUCCACCAUUACCUGUUCUGGGUAUCACCGGUCAGAGAAUUACAGCCAUCACUCAUCGGGUAAACAAUUUACAACUACUCUUGUCUGGAAAUCACUGGGAGUCGGGUGAGUUUUUUGUCAUCAAUGCAUAUUCUCCACAAUUAGUUUUGGGGUUUUCUUGGCUCAAAAAACACAACCCACAGUUAAACUGGGCUAAGGAGAGAGUUGAACGCUGGAGUGAUUUUUGUUUAAAUCAUUGUUUAAAAGCUGCUGUACCCAGAUUAGAGAUCAAGAGAGACUCUUUUGAAGAGCAUGAUUUGUCCAAAGUACACAGUGAAUAUCAUGUUUUGACACCUGUGUUCAGUAAAGCUAAGGCUCUCUCUCUCCCACCUCAUAGACCGUAUGACUGCUCCAUCGAACUGUUACCAGGGGCUCCUUUGCCAUCCAGUCGUUUAUAUAAUUUGUCCGGAACAGAAAGGGAAUCAAUGAGGUUAUAUAUAGAAGGGUCAUUAGCUUCUGGCAUUAUUCGCCCCUCCACGUCUCCACUAGGUGCCGGAUUCUUUUUUGUUUCAGAAAAGACAAGAGCCUACGUCCAUGUAUUUAUUUCCAUGGGUUAAACCAAAUUACUAUCAAAAAUAAAUACCCUCUUAUUGAUUCGGUGCACCAUCAGCUCCAUAAUGCUACUGUUUUCAAAGCUGGAUCUGUGCAAUGCUUACCAUUUGGUAAGAAUUAAAGCAGGAGAUGAGUGGAAAACCGCUUUUUAAACACCCUUGGGACAUUUUGAGUAUUUGGUUAUGCCAUUUGGGCUAACCAAUGCCCCUGCGGUUUUUCAAUCACUUAUCAAUGACGUUCUUCGAGACUUUCUCAACAUUUUUGUUUUUGUAUAUUUAGAUGAUAUCCUCAUCUAUUCUCAGAACUUGACCCAAUACAAACACCAUGUUCUCAUUGUUCUCUAAAAACUAUGUGAAAACCAGCUCUUAAGGCCGAGAAGUGCGAAUUUCAUUUGUCUACUGUAUCAUUUUUGGGUUUCAUUUUUGGAGAAGGUUUUUUUCAGACUGACCUGGACAAAGUUAAAGCUGUGGCAGAGUGGUCGGUUCCUAAAGAUCAUAAACAACUUCAGAGUUCUUGGGGUUCACCAACUUUUACCGAUGGUUCAUGAAGGACAACAGCUGAGUGGCGGCGCCAUUAACUCAACUCACACCCACCUUGAGGUCUUUCAAAUGGACUACAGAAGCUAAUACAACAUUUGGUGAGUUAAAGGCUCGUUUUGUUUCCGCUCCCAUCCUAAGACACCCUAACCCAACCGAACAGUUCAUUGUGGACGUGGACGCUUCUGAUUCUGGUGUGGGAGCAGUUCUUUCACAGAGAUCCACUGCUGACAACAAGGUCCAUCCCUGUGCCUUCUUCUCACGACGACUCAGCCCCUCAGAAACUACGAUGUGGGGGACUGUGAACUGUUGGCCAUUAAGUUGGCGUUGGAGGAGUGGCGUCAUUGGCUCGAAGGUACUGAUCUGCCGUUCAUAAUUUGGACGGAUCAUAAAAAUCUAUCGUAUCUUCAAACAGCCAAGAGAUUAAACCCUCGCCAGGCCCGCUGGUCCCUGUUUUUUGUCUGUUUUAACUUUGUUAUUACCUACUGACCGUGAACCAUGAAUGUUAUGCCUGACGCCCUCUCUUGACAGUUCUCUGACACAGAGGGUCCUAAGGAUGAGGACAACAUCCUUCCCCCUACAUGCUUUGUAGGAUCCCUCACAUGGGCCAUAGAAAAGGAGAUCCAGGAGGCACUUAGGACCAAACCUGAUCCAGGGGAAGGACCUCCUGGUAAGACCUUUGUACCUUUUUCUAUUAAAGACAAGGUGUUGGACUGGUUACACUCAAGUCAGUUUUCAUGCCACCCUGAGGUUUUUCGCAUGACUAUGCUAGCUUCAAGGUAUUUUUGGUGGCCUUCUAUGUCAGCCGACAUCAAGGAGUUUAUGGCAGCCUGUCCAACUUGUGCCAGAAACAAGAGUGGUAAUCGACCUCCUGCUGGACUGUUACAACCAAUACCUACACCUGGUCGUGCAUGGUCGCACAUUGCCAUGGAUUUUGUUACCGGUUUACCACUCUCUCAAGUAACACUGUCAUAUUGACUAUAAUUGACCGUUUCUCUAAAGCUGCACAUUUUGUGUCUCUGCCCAAACUCCCUACAGCAAUGGAGAUGGCUCGCCUGCUAGUCCAACAUGUUGUGAGAAUCCAUGGCAUACCAACUGACAUUGUUUCUGUUUGAGGCCCACAGUUUGUAUCUCAAGUCUGGAAGGCAUUCUGCAAAGCCCUAGGUACGACUAAGUCUCUCGUCUGGGUACCAUCCCCAGUCCAACGGACAAACCGAGAGAAGCAACCAGGAGCUGGAGGCCUCAUUGCGCUGUGUUGUGAGUAGUAACCCUUCUAACUGGAGUCAGCAUCUAACCUGGAUUGAAUACGCUCAAAACACGCAUACAUCCUCUGCCAUUGGUAUGUCACCAUUUGAAGCUUCACUGGGUUAUAAUCCUCCUUUAUUUCCCAGUGUUGAAACAGAAUGUGCAGUCCCGUCUGUCCAGCAUCAUGUCCGCAGGUGUCGUCGUUUCUGGAGGCAAACCAAGGAGGCGCUCUUGCGGAUGGCUGAACAAAAUAAAAUUGCUGAUAGGCAUCGUUCUACUGCACCUUCCUACAGAGUUGGUCAACAAGUGUGGUUGUCAACUAAGGAUAUUCAACUUAAGGACACUACUCGAAAGCUGGCUCCCUGGUACAUUGGACCAUUCCCGGUGGAACGCAUCAUAAACCCCUCUGUGGUACGUCUCUCACUCCCUUCCUCUAUGAAAGUACAUCCUACUUUUCAUGUGUCCCAGGUUAAGCCAGUUUCUAACAGUCUUCUGAGCCCUCCUUCCAACUACCCUACGCGCCCCCAAAUCAUCGACAAUCAGCCAUCCUGCACGGUCAACAAGAUCCUGGAUGUCAGACGACGUGGGCGUGGUCUACAGUAUCUUGUUGCUUGGGAGGGUUAUGGUCCGAAGGAACGCUCGUGGAUCUCAAGAGCCCUCAACCUUGAUCCCUCCCUCAUGUCCACUUUCUACAGCGACAAUCCUGAGAAGCGCAUCAGAUUGCCAGGAGACAAUCGUUGGGGGAUGGCACUGUGAUGAUUGGAGGUUUUGGUGUUUACCUUCUGCUUGGUUCCUGCUCCUAAGUGCACCACCUGCAUGCAAUCACCCUGAUGACAUCAUGGGCUUUAAAAGUGUCUCCAGACGGAUGAGUCCUCGCUGAUGCAUAACACCGUUUUUGGAAACCUUCACCAUUACGUCGUCUGGAGUUUUGGUCUGCCCAGGAUCAUCACCUAAAUGAACCAAGGAAGAUUUUAUGGUCUUGCCACUCUGCCUGAAGAAGCCUUUUACUUCACAAAGGAAACCUCACCUCUAAGCCGACUUGUUCUUCAGAAACCUAUCCGGACUUGUAUAUUUUUUCCCUGCA
Austrofundulus limnaeus is the source of this 4294-nucleotide long non-coding RNA. RefSeq lists it as uncharacterized. The transcript is spliced from 3 exons. NCBI's taxonomy places the organism in Eukaryota, Metazoa, Chordata, Actinopteri, Cyprinodontiformes, Rivulidae. The record is from RefSeq and is a predicted model, not a curated record.